Molecule: ribosomal RNA, 304 nt
Filed under: Teleopsis nr. discrepans C MS-2015
Lineage: Eukaryota; Metazoa; Arthropoda; Insecta; Diptera; Diopsidae
Description: partial 12S ribosomal RNA
Source: RNAcentral
GUAAUAGUUAUGAUCUUAAAACUUAAAAAAUUUGGCGGUAUUUUAAACUUUUCAGAGGAACUUGUCCUAUAAUUGAUAAUCCUCGUUGGACCUUACUUAAAUUUGUUAAAUUUAUUCAGUUUAUAUACCGUCGUUAUCAGAGUAUUUUAUAAGAAUAAUAAUUUUCAUGAAUUUAUAUUAAAAUUUAUUUCAGAUCAAGGUGUAGCAUAUAUUUAAGUAGUGAUGAGUUACAUUAAUUUUAUUUAUACGGAUAUUAAUAUGAAAAAUUAAUUAAAGGUGGAUUUGAAAGUAAAAUUAUAAAGAU